AGACAUGAACGCUGGCGGCGUGCCUAAUACAUGCAAGUCGAACGAGUUCUCGUUGAUGAUCGGUGCUUGCACCGAGAUUCAACAUGGAACGAGUGGCGGACGGGUGAGUAACACGUGGGUAACCUGCCCUUAAGUGGGGGAUAACAUUUGGAAACAGAUGCUAAUACCGCAUAGAUCCAAGAACCGCAUGGUUCUUGGCUGAAAGAUGGCGUAAGCUAUCGCUUUUGGAUGGACCCGCGGCGUAUUAGCUAGUUGGUGAGGUAAUGGCUCACCAAGGCGAUGAUACGUAGCCGAACUGAGAGGUUGAUCGGCCACAUUGGGACUGAGACACGGCCCAAACUCCUACGGGAGGCAGCAGUAGGGAAUCUUCCACAAUGGACGCAAGUCUGAUGGAGCAACGCCGCGUGAGUGAAGAAGGCUUUCGGGUCGUAAAACUCUGUUGUUGGAGAAGAAUGGUCGGCAGAGUAACUGUUGUCGGCGUGACGGUAUCCAACCAGAAAGCCACGGCUAACUACGUGCCAGCAGCCGCGGUAAUACGUAGGUGGCAAGCGUUAUCCGGAUUUAUUGGGCGUAAAGCGAGCGCAGGCGGUUUUUUAAGUCUGAUGUGAAAGCCCUCGGCUUAACCGAGGAAGCGCAUCGGAAACUGGGAAACUUGAGUGCAGAAGAGGACAGUGGAACUCCAUGUGUAGCGGUGAAAUGCGUAGAUAUAUGGAAGAACACCAGUGGCGAAGGCGGCUGUCUGGUCUGUAACUGACGCUGAGGCUCGAAAGCAUGGGUAGCGAACAGGAUUAGAUACCCUGGUAGUCCAUGCCGUAAACGAUGAAUGCUAGGUGUUGGAGGGUUUCCGCCCUUCAGUGCCGCAGCUAACGCAUUAAGCAUUCCGCCUGGGGAGUACGACCGCAAGGUUGAAACUCAAAGGAAUUGACGGGGGCCCGCACAAGCGGUGGAGCAUGUGGUUUAAUUCGAAGCAACGCGAAGAACCUUACCAGGUCUUGACAUCUUUUGAUCACCUGAGAGAUCAGGUUUCCCCUUCGGGGGCAAAAUGACAGGUGGUGCAUGGUUGUCGUCAGCUCGUGUCGUGAGAUGUUGGGUUAAGUCCCGCAACGAGCGCAACCCUUAUGACUAGUUGCCAGCAUUUAGUUGGGCACUCUAGUAAGACUGCCGGUGACAAACCGGAGGAAGGUGGGGAUGACGUCAAAUCAUCAUGCCCCUUAUGACCUGGGCUACACACGUGCUACAAUGGAUGGUACAACGAGUUGCGAGACCGCGAGGUCAAGCUAAUCUCUUAAAGCCAUUCUCAGUUCGGACUGUAGGCUGCAACUCGCCUACACGAAGUCGGAAUCGCUAGUAAUCGCGGAUCAGCACGCCGCGGUGAAUACGUUGCCCGGGCCUUGUACACACCGCCCGUCACAACCAUGAGAGUUUGUAACACCCGAAGCCGGUGGCGUAACCCUUUUAGGGAGCGAGCCGUCUAAGGUGGGACAAAUGAUUAGGGUGAAGGUGAAGGGU
This 1509-nucleotide ribosomal RNA is filed under the name Lacticaseibacillus paracasei subsp. tolerans. RNAcentral's name for it is "bacterial SSU rRNA". It matches the Rfam family "Bacterial small subunit ribosomal RNA". The record is from RNAcentral. Lineage: Bacteria; Bacillati; Bacillota; Bacilli; Lactobacillales; Lactobacillaceae.